ACAUAGGGUGCAAGCGUUGUCCGGAAUUAUUGGGCGUAAAGAGCUCGUAGGUGGUUCGUUACGUCGGAUGUGAAAACCUGAGGCUCAACCUCAGGCCUGCAUUCGAUACGGGCGAACUGGAGUGUGGUAGGGGAGACUGGAAUUCCUGGUGUAGCGGUGGAAUGCGCAGAUAUCAGGAGGAACACCAAUGGCGAAGGCAGGACUCUGGGCCAUUACUGACACUGAGGAGCGAAAGCGUGGGGAGCGAACAGGAUUAGAUACCCUGGUAGUCCACGCCGUAAACGGUGGGCACUAGUUGUGGGGACCUUCCACGGUCUCUGCGACGCAGCUAACGCACUAAGUGCCCCGCCUGGGGAGUACGAUCGCAAGAUUA
Molecule: ribosomal RNA, 373 nt
Filed under: uncultured bacterium
Lineage: Bacteria
Description: bacterial SSU rRNA
Rfam family: Bacterial small subunit ribosomal RNA
Source: RNAcentral